CCUCAAAUCCAUGGCCCCAUCCUGAUCCCCUCCUGCAAAAGGCUUGUUCCUGAGUUCCACCAUCCCUCCAGGCUUGGGGCAAAUGAACAGGGUUUGCAUCCCCUUCGCCUCUGGGGCGGGGGUCUCCUGAAAGAACAGGCUUUUGGAAUGUGACCUCCGGCUGGGCGGUGGACUCUAGCUGCUUGUGCAAGAGCUGCUCUCUUGCCACAGGCCACAGGUGGGGGUGUGCUCAGCAGGGCUAUGGGUACAGGUAACCUGCCCUCUCACACUGCAAGGAUUUUGACAGAAAGAGCAGGGCGAAGAUAACCUGGCUAGGAACUAACUUGGCUCCUUGGGGACACAGAGCACCCACAGCCCAGUAUUCCUGGGUUGGGUUUGCCCUCCCAGCCCCCAAACUAGGUAGGGCUCUUCUUUUGCCCAAGUACAGCUGGAGGCAGGGUGUUUCAGAGGGUGCAGUUAAUGACCUUGACAGGCACAGAAGCUUGCAUGCAGGAUCCUAUAAGGCCAUGCAUUUCCCCUUUCUCCACAGCUUUUCUGUUUAAUUUGUCUUCAUUCCUUCUUUCUAGGCCUUUCUGCCUGCCUGGAGUCAUCUGGAGAGAAAUCAAGUGUGAGCACCUCUCCCGCAGAAAGUUCUUGCAAGGUUCCAGUCGACUAAAUGAGCUUGCCUUCUGCCAGGAGUAAGGCAGUCCUGCAAGACAGAACCAAAGUGCCAUUCCCCAGGAAGCUCUUCUUUGUCAGAACAUCCCUGGUCCUUUUGCUUUUGUUUCUGAAUUAAAAAGAUGUGUUUGCCUGCC
RNAcentral lists this long non-coding RNA (794 nucleotides) under Sus scrofa (pig). Its description in RNAcentral is "lncRNA (ENSSSCG00015015392.1)". Lineage: Eukaryota; Metazoa; Chordata; Mammalia; Artiodactyla; Suidae. The record is from RNAcentral.